AUUGAACGCUGGCGGCAGGCCUAACACAUGCAAGUGGAGCGGAUGAAGGGAGCUUGCUCCUGGAUUCAGCGGCGGACGGGUGAGUAAUGCCUAGGAAUCUGCCUGGUAGUGGGGGAUAACGUCCGGAAACGGGCGCUAAUACCGCAUACGUCCUGAGGGAGAAAGUGGGGGAUCUUCGGACCUCACGCUAUCAGAUGAGCCUAGGUCGGAUUAGCUAGUUGGUGGGGUAAAGGCCUACCAAGGCGACGAUCCGUAACUGGUCUGAGAGGAUGAUCAGUCACACUGGAACUGAGACACGGUCCAGACUCCUACGGGAGGCAGCAGUGGGGAAUAUUGGACAAUGGGCGAAAGCCUGAUCCAGCCAUGCCGCGUGUGUGAAGAAGGUCUUCGGAUUGUAAAGCACUUUAAGUUGGGAGGAAGGGCAGUAAGUUAAUACCUUGCUGUUUUGACGUUACCAACAGAAUAAGCACCGGCUAACUUCGUG
This 484-nucleotide ribosomal RNA is filed under the name uncultured bacterium. RNAcentral describes it as "partial 16S ribosomal RNA". It matches the Rfam family "Bacterial small subunit ribosomal RNA", at positions 30 to 507 of the family's 1533-position model. The record is from RNAcentral.